This 403-nucleotide ribosomal RNA is filed under the name Verrucomicrobiota bacterium. Its description in RNAcentral is "Verrucomicrobia bacterium partial 16S ribosomal RNA". It matches the Rfam family "Bacterial small subunit ribosomal RNA", at positions 355 to 776 of the family's 1533-position model. RNAcentral also lists the same sequence under 1 other name. Lineage: Bacteria; Pseudomonadati; Verrucomicrobiota. The record is from RNAcentral.
UGGGGAAUAUUGCACAAUGGAGGGAACUCUGAUGCAGCGACGCCGCGUGUACGAAGAAGGCUUUCGAGUCGUAAAGUUCUUUUAUAUGGGAAGAUAAUGACGGUACCAUAAGAAAAAGCCCCGGCUAACUACGUGCCAGCAGCCGCGGUAAUACGUAGGGGGCUAGCGUUGUCCGGAAUCACUGGGCGUAAAGGGUUCGCAGGCGGAAAUGCAAGUCAGGUGUAAAAGGCAGUAGCUUAACUACUGUAAGCAUUUGAAACUGCAUAUCUUGAGAAGAGUAGAGGUAAGUGGAAUUUUUAGUGUAGCGGUGAAAUGCGUAGAUAUUAAAAAGAAUACCGGUGGCGAAGGCGACUUACUGGGCUCAUUCUGACGCUGAGGAACGAAAGCGUGGGUAGCAAACAGG